Molecule: RNA transcript, 4231 nt
Organism: Oncorhynchus keta (chum salmon)
Lineage: Eukaryota; Metazoa; Chordata; Actinopteri; Salmoniformes; Salmonidae
Gene name: CYFIP-related Rac1 interactor A-like
Exons: 12
Source: RefSeq, a predicted model, not a curated record
GAGUGAGUGAGUGAGUGAGAGAGAGAGAGAGAGAGAGAGAGAGAGAGAGAGAGAGAGAGAGAGAGAGAGAGAGAGAGAGAGAGAGAGAGAGAGAGAGAGAGAGAGAGAGAGAGAGAGAGAGAGAGAGAGAAAUAGGCUGUGUGUAUCGUGAAGAGGCUGUGUAUUUAGGAGAAUCCAUAGUCCUCACAAGGAUAAGAGAAGAAAGAAGAAGACCGCAAGCUUUCAUUUUUCUCCUCAUUAUUCCGCAUCCUACCGGAGGCUUUUGUGUCUUAUUGUUUUUGGUCCUUCUCCCUCUCCAUCCUUCCUUCCUUCACCACGGAAGGAGGAACAGCACAGCAGCACAGCCGGUGGUGGAAGUUGACACUGUAGUGUGGGUGUUGAGCUGAGAGGCCCUGGUUGAUGCUGUGAAAGAGCUCUGUAAGGACAAACACAAGCACAGGUUGCAGCCAUGGGGAACCUCAUUAAGGUCCUUGGCAAGGAUUUAGAAAACUGUCCACAUUUUUUCCUGGACUUCGAAAAUGCCCAGCCUACGGAGGCAGAGACGGCGGUAUGGAACCAGGUCAGUGCUGUCCUGGAGGAGGCCCACGGUAUCCUGGCCGAACUACAGUCAUACAACGGGGCGGGACAGGAGAUACGAGAGGCCAUCCAGAACCCAGGUGAUCUGCAGCUACAGGAGAAGGCCUGGAACGCAGUCUGCCCCCUGGUGGCCAAGCUCAAACGCUUCUACGAGUUCUCCCUCCGACUGGAGAAUGCCCUGCGUAGCCUGUUGGAGGCGCUGACGAGCCCUCCCUACGCUCCCAUGCAGCACCUAGAGAGAGAACAGGCUCUGGCCAAACAGUUCGCUGAGAUACUCCACUUCACCCUCAGCUUCGACGAACUAAAGAUGACAAACCCAGCCAUUCAGAUGACAUCAGCUACUACAGGAGAACCAUCAGUAGAAACAGGCUGAACAACCAGCAGUUGGAGGCGGAGAACGAGGUGAACAACGAGAUGGCCAAUCGGAUGUCUCUGUUCUACGCCGAGGCCACACCCAUGCUGAAGACCCUGAGUAAUGCCACCACCAAGUUUGUGUCAGAGAAUAAGACCUUACCCAUUGAAGACACCACAGACUGCCUGAGCACCAUGGCCUGUGUGUGUCGCGUCAUGCUGGAGACCCCUGAGUACCGUUGUAGGUUCACCAACACAGACACCGUGUUGUUCUGUAUGAGGGUGAUGGUGGGAGUAAUCAUCCUGUACGACCAUGUCCACCCUGUAGGAGCCUUCGCCAAGACAUCCAAAAUAGACAUGAAGGGCUGCAUCAAGGUGCUGAAAGAACAGCCUUCCAACAGCGUGGAGGGGCUAUUGAACGCACUGAGGUAUACAACCCGACAUCUAAACGACGACAGCACCUCUAAACAAAUCAGGGCUCUUCUUCAAUGAAAGAUGGAAGAGAGGCGAGUGUGAAGGAAGGAGAGAGAGAGAGAGAGAGAGAGAGAGAGAGAGAGAGAGUGUGCACACAGAGGGAGGAGAAGUAAAAACGAAGGAGAACAAACUGUGUUGGCUGAAUCCUGUUUGUUUACAUGAAUGAAAAGCUAAAUGAUCAGGUCUGAUAAAAACCUAGUGAGAAGAAGUUUAUGUAUUGUCCAUCGUUCUGUCUCUCAUUUUGUAAAAAAAAAAAAAGAAAAUGAAGGAAAAUAAUCUAUAGAGAUAUAUAUUAAAGAAAGAAAAAAAAACUAAACAAGUGUUACCAGAUUUCUAAUAAGACUAAAGAGGAAGAACAACAAGGAAAAAGCUACGUUAGAAAAAUACACGGUCAAAAAAUAAAAACUGAAGCAAAAAAAUUUAAAUAAACAAAAAGUUUCAUAUUCCGUACAACAACGUUAGUCUGAAGAAUAUUUUUGCAUUCACGUAGAAUAUAAACAGCGCCGUCUGUCAGUCUCCACCUAGUCGCUGGAAAGAUUUAAACCAGGCUCCAUUAAAAACUGUAAAGAAUAGACUGGGAUUGACAAAACGGCCUGAUUCCAAACCAAUGGCUUAUCCUCCUCCAAAAAUCCUCGUUGACUCCCCUUGAUCUAAAAUGACUUUGAGUUGGGAGCAUUGUGGGGGAAACACUUCAUAACAUACCACAAGGCUAAUGGGAGCUUUAACCAUAUUGCUGAUACCAAUCCAAACAAUUUGUCAGAUUGUCAACAAGGUCCUAGGGUUCGGGAAGAGGUAUUGGUUUGGGACCAGGCCCCUGUGUAGAUUAUAAUCAGUCACUGCAUUGAGGGUCCAUCCCAAUAGUUUGAAGGGGCUUCCUCUUCUCCUCGUCUCCUCUCCUUGUCUCCUCUUCUCCAUUUACACUGAACUGACAACACAGGCGUUAUUAAGUAAAUAUUGCAGCUGAAAAAAAGGGGACGAGGAGACAAGGAGGGGAAGCUAUUUUACUGUAUUCACAUACACCCAGACACUGCUCAUUACACACCCACUCCGACCCUCUCCCCUCCCACCACCCACCACCCACUUGAAUCGUAACCACGGAAACUGUGGGAGUUUUUGGCACUAGUACGUUAUGUUAUGCCGUAAAUGGAGUUUGAAGAUUUUGGUGAUUCAGCCCUCUCUUUAUGGUGCUAAAACGUUUAACUAUCGACAUAAAACCUCACACAACGUUUCAUACAUCUAGUGCCAAAGCUACCGCAUCAUCAGCAGGUGAGGAGGGGGUUAAAGGAGAUACCGACGGCUAGCCUUGUACCACUGCUUGAUAUCUAUCUUUAGGGGGUUAAAGGAGAUACCGACGGCUAGCCUUGUACCACUGCUUGAUAUCUAUCUUUAGGGGGUUAAAGGAGAUACCGACGGCUAGCCUUGUACCACUGCUAGAUAUCUAUCUUUAGGGGGUUAAAGGAGAUAGUGACUGACUCCUAGAUAUCUAUCUUUAGGGGGUUAAGGAGAUAGUUACUGACUCCUAGAUAUCUAUCUUUAGGGGGUUAAGGAGAUAGUUACUGACUCCUAGAUAUCUAUCUUUAGGGGGUUAAGGAGAUAGUUACUGACUCCUAGAUAUCUAUCUUUAGGGGGUUAAGGAGAUAGUGACUGACUCCUAGAUAUCUAUCUUUAGGGGGUUAAGGAGAUAGUGACUGACUCCUAGAUAUCUAUCUUUAGGGGGUUAAAGGAGAUAGUGACUGACUCCUAGAUAUCUAUCUUUAGGGGGUUAAAGGAGACACUGACGGCUAGCCUUGUACCACUGCUUGAUAUCUAUCUUUAGGGGGUUAAGGAGAUAGUGACUGACUCCUAGAUAUCUAUCUUUGGGGGGUUAAAGGAGAUAGUGACUGACUCCUAGAUAUCUAUCUUUAGGGGGUUAAAGGAGACACCGGCGGCUAGCCUUGUACCACUGCUAGAUAUCUAUCUUUAGGGGGUCCAAAAGGCUCCAGGACAUCACAGUCUACUGCUCCAAUCCCUACAUAGCCAACCAGCCAUCAGUAAACCAUAUUCUGUACCUUGUGAAAUCUUGGAUGUGCCAUCUUGGAUUUUUUUGGUGGAAUACUCUAUUGAAGCAUAAAGAGAAGGGCAGAGACUUUCAGGGAGGGACAAAGACCUUAUCAUUAACAAGAGGAUAUAUAAACACACACAUAUGCACACAGGCACAGUCAGAGUCGCAGUGUAAAUAAGUGAGCGAGCUGAGUAUUUUCUCAUCAGGCAACUACAAGGCCAGCUCUGGUCCUCCAGGAUAUAGAACACACAACAACAAUAACAAAUGUGCUUCUGUUCCACUAGAAAUGUCUUCUUUUAGUAUGAGGCAAAUAAAAAAAAUGUUGUUGAUAAAGUGGGUAUUGAAAAUAAAGAAGUUGAAAAAGGAGAUUUUAAAAAAAAUGCAGAGCUGUACUUUCCAUGUCUAUAGACCUUAGUCUGACUUCAGUUGAUCUCAUAAUAUAUUUUCUAUACAGGGGUAUGUGGUAGGAACAUAUUCUGUAUAAAUAUAUAGAUGGCAUGUUGUAAAGUUCUAACAUAAAAUGUGUACAUAAAAGGUGUUUUUAUUCCUUUUUAAUUGUUCAGUGAAGCUGAAAUUGGGUGUGUUGUCUCUCUCAGAAAUACCAUGGCUUGGCUUGGACCAUUGGACUUGCUGUAGUGAGUCAUAGGUUUAAAAAAAAUUAAAUUAAAAUAAAAACUCAUCUUGGCGAAUGAAACGGCGGGAGGGGCGGGACUAGGGGUGAGCUGUCCAUUUGCUUGUUAUUUUGUACAUUUUGUGCAACAAUAAAACUUGUCCAUUUAUUACAUUCAA